UACGAGAGGUGCAAGCGUUGUCCGGAUUUAUUGGGCGUGAAGCGUUUCGUAGGCUAUUUCGCAAGUUAUUCUUUAAAGACCGAGGCUUAACCUCGGGAAGGGGAAUAAUACUGCGAGAAUUGAGAUAUUUCGGGGUUACUGGAACUAUCGGUGUAGGGGUGAAAUCCGUUGAUAUCGAUAGGAACUCCAAGGGCGAAGGCAGGUAACUAGGAAUUUUCUGACGCUGAUGAACGAAAGCUAGGGGAGCGAAAGGG
Molecule: ribosomal RNA, 254 nt
Filed under: uncultured bacterium
Lineage: Bacteria
Description: partial 16S ribosomal RNA
Rfam family: Bacterial small subunit ribosomal RNA
Source: RNAcentral